CGCGUAGGUGGCCUGAUAAGGGUGUGGUGAAAGUCCGGGGCUCAACCCCGGAUCGGCCGUGCCGACUGUUAGGCUAGAGUACUGUAGGGGCAGGCGGAAUUCCGGGUGUAGCGGUGGAAUGCGUAGAGAUCCGGAGGAAGACCGGUGGCGAAGGCGACCUGCUGGGCAGUUACUGACACUGAGGCGCGACAGCGUGGGGAAGCAAACAG
RNAcentral lists this ribosomal RNA (209 nucleotides) under uncultured bacterium. RNAcentral's name for it is "partial 16S ribosomal RNA". It matches the Rfam family "Bacterial small subunit ribosomal RNA", at positions 568 to 775 of the family's 1533-position model. The record is from RNAcentral.